This 1133-nucleotide long non-coding RNA is filed under the name Heterocephalus glaber (naked mole-rat). RNAcentral's name for it is "lncRNA (ENSHGLG00000035875.1)". The record is from RNAcentral. Lineage: Eukaryota; Metazoa; Chordata; Mammalia; Rodentia; Bathyergidae.
CUGACAGUUGCCAUCCCCAUCGUUCCGAGAAUUCCUAGUGCGUAGCCACGCAACGGGAUAUCGCACUGCGUUCCCUAUUCCCUCCUCCUGCACUCCCAGCUUGCCUAGCUGCAUCACCUUCCCAGUAAAAGGAACAAAGAAGUUAGAGACCACAGCAAAGGAGGAAGAGACGCUAAGGAGGGGAAGAGGAGGACAUUUCUGCCUGGUGGCAGCUCAGAAAUUCAGGGGCAGGAAUGGUUUCCCAAUCUUGAAGUCUGGCUUCUUAUUUUUCCACUAGUAGCUUACCGGAUCUCUGUAACAGAACACUCGGCUCUUACAGACAGCAGACCAGUCCAGCCAGGUCAAGACCACCAGAGCUAUGUGAUGAUGAAGAAAGUCAUAGGUGAGAGCUGAGUAGCUCACAACAGUUGACCAGAUGUAGAAUGUGUGAUUACACAGAUCCGUGGAAUAAGUGCAGAAGUGGAAAUGUUUGGAGGGAAAGGAGAAGGAGAAAGAUGAGAUAUGAGGUCAAGAGAGCGUCAUCUAAGGAACCUAUUGAAGGUCUUCAAAUCAGCUUAUCUUGGCAAGGAAGGAUUCUAGGAAGAAUCAGAAAUCUAUCUUUCAAUGCAGAAGAAUGAUGACUCCUGAUGCAGUUCUAAAAAGGUUUAUGCUGUAUGAAUGUUUGUUGCAAAAUGGCUGCAAUGGAGUUCGAUAUUUGGAAAUAUAUCCUACACAUGAAAGAUUUAUUGGAAAAUAGAAUAACUUGUGAUCAGAAUAAGGAAGUCAGCAAAAUAAACGGAAAAUGAACUAGAUCACAUCUGAAGAGGAAUAUUGAAAGAACAAUCUAAGGAGUGAAGUAAUUGUAAAGCAUUUCAGAUCGUUUUUUGAACAAGAAGUUCUAAAGUUUAUGCCACAUGAUUUCAGCGUGGAGUUUAACAUGCUGCUGAAAUUAUGGUCCAUUCUAAAUACAUUUAUUAGGGGAAUUAGCAGCUGGAAUUUCCAUGAUGGGUCAUCUUCAAGCUGGAGAUCCUGGGACUAUAGUGGCAUAGCUAAGUCCAAGUUUAACUCUUAGUUCAAGGUUGAAAGCUGAGCAGCCUUGGGGGGACUGCUGGAGUCCAAAGACAAGGAAGCUUGGAAUUCUCAUGUCCAAGGCG